Molecule: ribosomal RNA, 547 nt
Filed under: uncultured Glomus
Lineage: Eukaryota; Fungi; Glomeromycota; Glomeromycetes; Glomerales; Glomeraceae
Description: SSU rRNA
Rfam family: Eukaryotic small subunit ribosomal RNA
Source: RNAcentral
UGGAGGGCAAGUCUGGUGCCAGCAGCCGCGGUAAUUCCAGCUCCAAUAGCGUAUAUUAAAGUUGUUGCAGUUAAAAAGCUCGUAGUUGAAUUUCGGAAUCAAUAUGUUGGUCGUGCCUUGGUACGUACUGGCGUCAUUGGUUUCUACCUUCUGAAGAACCUCGAUGUCAUUAAUUUGGUGUCUUGGGGAAUCAGGACUGUUACUUUGAAAAAAUUAGAGUGUUUAAAGCAGGCUCACGCUUGAAUACAUUAGCAUGGAAUAAUGAAAUAGGACGUUUGAUUCUAUUUUGUUGGUUUCUAGGAUCGACGUAAUGAUUAAUAGGGAUAGUUGGGGGCAUUAGUAUUCAAUUGUCAGAGGUGAAAUUCUUGGAUUUAUUGAAGACUAACUACUGCGAAAGCAUUUGCCAAGGAUGUUUUCAUUAAUCAAGAACGAAAGUUAGGGGAUCGAAGACGAUCAGAUACCGUCGUAGUCUUAACCAUAAACUAUGCCGACUAGGGAUCGGAUGAUGUUAAUUUUUUAAUGACUCAUUCGGCGCCUUACGGGAAAC